RNAcentral lists this ribosomal RNA (440 nucleotides) under uncultured bacterium. RNAcentral describes it as "partial 16S ribosomal RNA". It matches the Rfam family "Bacterial small subunit ribosomal RNA", at positions 338 to 795 of the family's 1533-position model. The record is from RNAcentral.
CCUACGGGAGGCAGCAGUAGGGAAUAUUGCUCAAUGGGGGAAACCCUGAAGCAGCAACGCCGCGUGGAGGAUGAAGGUUCUCGGAUUGUAAACUCCUUUUGUUAGAGAAGAUAAUGACGGUAUCUAACGAAUAAGCACCGGCUAACUCCGUGCCAGCAGCCGCGGUACUACGGAGGGUGCAAGCGUUACUCGGAUUCACUGGGCGUAAAGAGCGCGUAGGCGGGAUAGCAAGUCAGAUGUAAAAUCCUAUGGCUUAACCAUAGAACUGCAGUUGAAACUGUUAUUCUAGAGUAUGGGAGUGGUAGGUGGAAUUCUUGGUGUAGGAGUGAAAUGCGUAGAGAUCAAGAGGAAUACUCAUUGCGAAGGCGAGCUGCUAGAACAUAACUGACGCUGAUGCGCGAAAGCGUGGGGAGCAAACAGGAUUAGAUACCCGAGUAGUC